CGUAGGGUGCGAGCGUUAAUCGGAAUUACUGGGCGUAAAGCGUGCGCAGGCGGUGGCUCAAGCCAGGCGUGAAAUCCCCGGGCUUAACCUGGGAAUGGCGUUUGGGACUGGGUCGCUAGAGUGUGGCAGAGGGAGGUGGAAUUCCACGUGUAGCAGUGAAAUGCGUAGAGAUGUGGAGGAACACCGAUGGCGAAGGCAGCCUCCUGGGCCAGCACUGACGCUCAUGCACGAAAGCGUGGGGAGCAAACAGGAUUAGAUACCCUGGUAGUCCACGCCCUAAACGAUGUCAACUGGUUGUUGGGGAAGGAAACUUCCUUAGUAACGAAGCUAACGCGUGAAGUUGACCGCCUGGGGAGUACGGCCGCAAGGUUA
RNAcentral lists this ribosomal RNA (372 nucleotides) under uncultured organism. RNAcentral's name for it is "bacterial SSU rRNA". It matches the Rfam family "Bacterial small subunit ribosomal RNA", at positions 526 to 896 of the family's 1533-position model. The record is from RNAcentral.